This 835-nucleotide ribosomal RNA is filed under the name Pedobacter sp. Its description in RNAcentral is "bacterial SSU rRNA". It matches the Rfam family "Bacterial small subunit ribosomal RNA", at positions 36 to 874 of the family's 1533-position model. The record is from RNAcentral. Lineage: Bacteria; Pseudomonadati; Bacteroidota; Sphingobacteriia; Sphingobacteriales; Sphingobacteriaceae.
CUGCGGCAGCCUAAUACAUGCAAGUCGAACGAUACUACCGGGCUUGCUCGGUAGGAAAGUGGCGCACGGGUGCGUAACGCGUAUGCAACCUACCUUAAUCAGGGGGAUAGCCCGAAGAAAUUCGGAUUAACACCGCAUAAAAACACAGGAUAGCAUUAUCCAAUGUUCAAAUAUUUAUAGGAUUAAGAUGGGCAUGCGUGUCAUUAGCUAGUUGGCGGGGUAACGGCCCACCAAGGCGACGAUGACUAGGGGAUCUGAGAGGAUGACCCCCCACACUGGUACUGAGACACGGACCAGACUCCUACGGGAGGCAGCAGUAAGGAAUAUUGGUCAAUGGAGGCAACUCUGAACCAGCCAUGCCGCGUGCAGGAAGACAGCCCUCUGGGUCGUAAACUGCUUUUAUUCGGGAAUAAACCUACUUACGUGUAAGUAGCUGAAUGUACCGAAGGAAUAAGGAUCGGCUAACUCCGUGCCAGCAGCCGCGGUAAUACGGAGGAUCCAAGCGUUAUCCGGAUUUAUUGGGUUUAAAGGGUGCGUAGGCGGCUUAUUAAGUCAGGGGUGAAAGACGGUGGCUCAACCAUCGCAGUGCCCUUGAUACUGAUGAGCUUGAAUGGACUAGAGGUAGGCGGAAUGUGACAAGUAGCGGUGAAAUGCAUAGAUAUGUCACAGAACACCGAUUGCGAAGGCAGCUUACUAUGGUCUUAUUGACGCUGAGGCACGAAAGCGUGGGGAUCAAACAGGAUUAGAUACCCUGGUAGUCCACGCCCUAAACGAUGAAUACUCGCUGUUAGCGAUACACAGUUAGCGGCUAAGCGAAAGCGUUAAGUAUCCACCU